Molecule: ribosomal RNA, 321 nt
Filed under: uncultured eukaryote
Lineage: Eukaryota
Description: partial 18S ribosomal RNA
Rfam family: Eukaryotic small subunit ribosomal RNA
Source: RNAcentral
CCCUUAGAUGUUCUGGGCCGCACGCGCGUUACACUGACGCAUUCAACGAGUCUCCUUGGCCGAGAGGCCUGGGUAAUCUUGUGAACGUGCGUCGUGAUAGGGAUAGAUUAUUGCAAUUAUUAAUCUUGAACGAGGAAUUCCUAGUAAACGCAGAUCAUCAAUCUGCAUUGAUUACGUCCCUGCCCUUUGUACACACCGCCCGUCGCACCUACCGAUUGGAUGGUCCGGUGAGGCCUCGGGAUUGUGGCCGGUGCAUUCAUUUGUGUCGGUUGCGAGAACUUGUCCAAACCUUAUCAUCUAGAGGAAGGUGAAGUCGUANCA